CGUCACAGCUACUGGUUAUUAACCAGCAACCUUUCCUCCCAAUUGAAAGUGCUUUACAACCCUAGGGCCUUCUUCACACACGCGGCAUGGCUGCGUCAGGCUUUCGCCCAUUGCGCAAUAUUCCCCC
Molecule: ribosomal RNA, 127 nt
Filed under: uncultured bacterium
Lineage: Bacteria
Description: partial 16S ribosomal RNA
Source: RNAcentral